AGAGUUUGAUCAUGGCUCAGGAUAAACGCUGGCGGCAUGCCUAAUACAUGCAAGUCGAACGAGAUCUUCGGAUCUAGUGGCGAACGGGUGAGGAACACGUAAGAAACCUGCCCUUAAGACGAGGAUAACUAUUGGAAACGAUAGCUAAUACUGGAUAGGAUAUAAGGCCGCAUGGUCUAAUAUUUAAAGGAGCCUUCAAGCUCCGCUUAGGGAUGGUCUUGCGCAGCAUUAGCUAGUUGGUAGGGUAACGGCCUACCAAGGCGACGAUGCUUAGCUGGUCUGAGAGGAUGAACAGCCACACUGGGACUGAGACACGGCCCAGACUCCUACGGGAGGCAGCAGUAGGGAAUUUUCGGCAAUGGGCGAAAGCCUGACCGAGCAAUGCCGCGUGAAUGAUGAAGGCCUUCGGGUCGUAAAAUUCUGUUGUUAAGGAAGAACAAGUAGACCAGGAAAUGGGUUUACUCUGACGGUACUUAACCAGAAAGCUCCGGCUAACUACGUGCCAGCAGCCGCGGUAAUACGUAGGGAGCGAGCGUUAUCCGGAAUUAUUGGGCGUAAAGAGUGCGUAGGCGUUCUGUUAAGUCAAAUCUGAAAGCCCCCAGCUUAACUGGGGAGGGUGAUUUGAAACUGGCAGAAUUGAGUAUGGCAGAGGUAAGUGGAAUUCAAUGUGUAGCGGUGGAAUGNGUAGAUAUAUUGAGGAACACCAGUGGCGAAGNNGGCUUACUGGNCCAGAACUGACGCUGAGGCACGAAAGCGUGGGGAGNAAACAGGAUUAGAUACCCUGGUAGUCCACGCCGUAAACGAUGAGA
RNAcentral lists this ribosomal RNA (809 nucleotides) under uncultured bacterium. RNAcentral describes it as "bacterial SSU rRNA". It matches the Rfam family "Bacterial small subunit ribosomal RNA", at positions 8 to 814 of the family's 1533-position model. The record is from RNAcentral.